UACAGAGGUCUCAAGCGUUGUUCGGAUUCAUUGGGCGUAAAGGGUGCGUAGGCGGCGCGGUAAGUCGGGUGUGAAAUUUCGAGGCUUAACUUCGAAACUGCAUUCGAUACCGCCGUGCUUGAGGACUGGAGAGGAGACUGGAAUUUACGGUGUAGCGGUGAAAUGCGUAGAUAUCGUAAGGAAGACCAGUGGCGAAGGCGGGUCUCUGGACAGUUCCUGACGCUGAGGCACGAAGGCCAGGGGAGCAAACGGG
This 253-nucleotide ribosomal RNA is filed under the name uncultured bacterium. Its description in RNAcentral is "partial 16S ribosomal RNA". It matches the Rfam family "Bacterial small subunit ribosomal RNA", at positions 524 to 776 of the family's 1533-position model. The record is from RNAcentral.